CACGUAGGGUGCGAGCGUUGUCCGGAAUUAUUGGGCGUAAAGAGCUCGUAGGCGGUGUGUCGCGUCGGCCGUGAAAACCUGCAGCUUAACUGUGGGCGUGCGGUCGAUACGGGCAUCACUGGAGUUCGGCAGGGGAGACUGGAAUUCCUGGUGUAGCGGUGAAAUGCGCAGAUAUCAGGAGGAACACCGGUGGCGAAGGCGCCACUCUGGGCCGAAACUGACGCUGAGGAGCGAAAGCGUGGGUAGCAAACAGG
RNAcentral lists this ribosomal RNA (254 nucleotides) under uncultured bacterium. RNAcentral's name for it is "partial 16S ribosomal RNA". It matches the Rfam family "Bacterial small subunit ribosomal RNA", at positions 524 to 776 of the family's 1533-position model. The record is from RNAcentral.